Molecule: ribosomal RNA, 311 nt
Filed under: uncultured bacterium
Lineage: Bacteria
Description: bacterial SSU rRNA
Rfam family: Bacterial small subunit ribosomal RNA
Source: RNAcentral
GAUGAACGCUGGCGGCGUGCUUAACACAUGCAAGUCGAACGUUGAGAGGUAGCAAUAUCUUGAAAGUGGCGAACGGUGAGUAACACGUAGGUAACCUGCCUCGGAGUGGGGAUAACAGUUAGAAAUGACUGCUAAUACCGCAUGAAUCCAUUGUUUGGGGACAAGUGAUGGAGAAAAACUCUGGUGCUUCGAGAGGGGCCUGCGGCCGAUUAGCUAGUUGGUGGGGUAAAGGCCUACCAAGGCGACGAUCGGUAGCUGGUCUGAGAGGACGAUCAGCCACACGGGAACUGAGACACGGUCCCGACUCCUAC